Struthio camelus australis is the source of this 1827-nucleotide long non-coding RNA. The record is from Ensembl. Lineage: Eukaryota; Metazoa; Chordata; Aves; Struthioniformes; Struthionidae.
AUGGAAAUCAUCAGUAACUCCACUGAAAUCAAUGGACUUUCUGCAGUUAUUUUGCAGCUUAUAUCUCUUCUACUUACUGCCAGUACAACUGACAAGCUUUCAGUCACUGAUGGGAGGAGCGCUUGAUGGCAGAACCAAAACCCAGCCAAACAAAAACCCUGCAAAUGAAACUGUGGCUAUCAUAAGCACCAGGGGCCUUGAAAGUGCCUGUUAUCCAAUGCGGGGCACUGGGAAGGAAAACCUUGAGCCAGAGCUCACUGCUGCACCGUAACUUGAUUCGUCUUGCCCCUAUAAUUUCUUUGCCAGCGCCAGUACUUCUAGUAAUGGAGUGAUAACAUAUCGUUGCCUGUAACUGCAUAGAAGAAGAAGCCGAGCUACACAUGCAGUGAAAAUGGACACUGUAAUUGUUGCUUACUUUGAACCGGGCUACAACUGUACCCAUAUAAAUGAAGCGACAAUAGCAGAUUUACAUGCAAAUCGUUCCAGUUCAGUGUGAAUGUUGAUUUACUGAGGCUAAUAAGAGUUCAGCAGAUUGUAGCAGAGAAUAAUGGAAGAAAUCUCUCCUGGAAUGAUAAAACUGAAAUCUGCUCUAAGCCUUUUUAGGUUAUGUAAGCAAUGUCUGUCAUACUGCUAAACUCCUCACAUAAUCUUCCAAUCUGAAUCCUAAAAUUCCUGCUAGAACCCAGCCCUACAUUUCACUCAUAACAAUGCUUUUAUGUUCUCUAAUUGUAUAAAAGUACAAAAAGCACGACACUUCAGUGAUUACAGAAAUUAAUCCAGAUAUUUUAUGCAAUUCACUCAUCUAAUGCCAGGUGAAAAAGAGCUAAGUUAUUAAGAGCAGAGCAUAGUACAGUUAGAUUAUCUUUGAAAGGAUGAAUGAUCCAAAAAAAGGAAGAGGAAUCUUAGCUUAAACGCUCUACCCCCCUUUGUUUUGAACCAUUCUAUUACAAACAAACUUUUAUAAAAACCUAGUUUUAGGAAACUUGCCUUUGAGAGCAAAGCGAUGGCAUUGUUGGAAGCUGUCUGUUCUCCUGGCUUUCCUGCCCCCUAAGUAGAAAGGUCUUCCACCUGUCACUCAGAGGAGGUUAAAAAAUUACUGCGCUUUGCCUAAACCAACAGUAAAGUGAUAAUAUUACAGUAAAGAAUCAUUGUGGACAACAUUAAAGCCUAACAGGACUGAGGAGAAGGGAGCAGACUGAACUUAGAUUAAACCCAGGUGUGGAUUUAGAUUCAGCAGCACUUUUGCCUUCCGACAUGCUCUUGCUAGCUGACAAAAGCUUUUCACUCUUUCUAUUCUGAGUGGCUGGGAAAGAGAAGUUGUAAAUUAACCAGAGCACAAUUGACAUCUUGAAGGCACAAUGCCUUCCCAAUUGCUUCAGUUGCUGUGCACUGUGAAAUGCUUACAGCAUUUAAUUCAACCCGGGAUCCAGCAAUAUAAUUUUGGCAAAACAAAGGUAAAAUUUGGGGUUCCUUUUUGAUUUUCAGAAUGUAAAAAUGAGGGGAAAAAAAAGAUGAUCUGGGUAACUACAGGGUAAGCAGCGCUAAUGCUUUAAAAUGAAGGGGGAAAAAGAAUGAUUUGGGUUUUUGCGUGCUCUUUUUCCCAGAAGGUGAAUCUUUCCAUUACUUGCCUUUUAUGCAGAAAGUAGUUUUCAAACUGUGAUCCACAAAAACACUCUAAGGGCAUCAGCAGGACAGAAAAACUUGCAAACAAGCUGUACAAAGGAUGCAAAUUUUGGAUCCAGGGGAGAGGAGAAGAAAAGGGGGGAGUUUUCUGAAGAACCCUUUUAUUGAUAAACUUUGUCAAUAAAGUCUGAGGGGGCAGGAGCA